CUACGGGGCGCAGCAGUGGGGAAUAUUGGACAAUGGGGGAAACCCUGAUCCAGCAAUGCCGCGUGUGUGAAGAAGGCCUGCGGGUUGUAAAGCACUUUCGGUUGGGAGGACUGCUUCUAGCACUAAUAUUGUUGGAAGUUGACGUUACCUUCAGAAGAAGCACCGGCUAACUCCGUGCCAGCAGCCGCGGUAAUACGGAGGGUGCAAGCGUUAAUCGGAAUUACUGGGCGUAAAGCGCGCGUAGGCGGCUAGAUCAGUCGGGUGUGAAAGCCCCGGGCUUAACCUGGGAACUGCAUCCGAUACUGUCUAGCUUGAGGACAGGAGAGGAGAGUGGAAUUCCACAUGUAGCGGUGAAAUGCGUAGAUAUGCGGAGGAACACCAAUGGCGAAGGCAGCUCUCUGGCCUGAUACUGACGCUGAGGCGUGAAAGCGUGGGGAGCAAACAGGAUUAGAUACCCUAGUAGUC
RNAcentral lists this ribosomal RNA (465 nucleotides) under uncultured bacterium. RNAcentral describes it as "partial 16S ribosomal RNA". It matches the Rfam family "Bacterial small subunit ribosomal RNA", at positions 339 to 795 of the family's 1533-position model. The record is from RNAcentral.